RNAcentral lists this ribosomal RNA (465 nucleotides) under Vreelandella stevensii. RNAcentral describes it as "partial 16S ribosomal RNA". It matches the Rfam family "Bacterial small subunit ribosomal RNA", at positions 338 to 795 of the family's 1533-position model. The record is from RNAcentral. Lineage: Bacteria; Pseudomonadati; Pseudomonadota; Gammaproteobacteria; Oceanospirillales; Halomonadaceae.
CCUACGGGUAGCAGCAGUGGGGAAUAUUGGACAAUGGGGGGAACCCUGAUCCAGCCAUGCCGCGUGUGUGAAGAAGGCCCUCGGGUUGUAAAGCACUUUCAGUGAGGAAGAACGCCUGGUGGUUAAUACCCAUCAGGAAAGACAUCACUCACAGAAGAAGCACCGGCUAACUCCGUGCCAGCAGCCGCGGUAAUACGGAGGGUGCGAGCGUUAAUCGGAAUUACUGGGCGUAAAGCGCGCGUAGGUGGCUUGAUAAGCCGGUUGUGAAAGCCCCGGGCUCAACCUGGGAACGGCAUCCGGAACUGUCAAGCUAGAGUACAGGAGAGGAAGGUAGAAUUCCCGGUGUAGCGGUGAAAUGCGUAGAGAUCGGGAGGAAUACCAGUGGCGAAGGCGGCCUUCUGGACUGACACUGACACUGAGGUGCGAAAGCGUGGGUAGCAAACAGGAUUAGAUACCCUAGUAGUC